Picea glauca (white spruce) is the source of this 121-nucleotide non-coding RNA. NCBI's taxonomy places the organism in Eukaryota, Viridiplantae, Streptophyta, Pinopsida, Pinales, Pinaceae. The record is from Rfam.
ACAUGCUUACAACAUAGUAUUAAUGCACCAUAUCCCAUUAGAACUUCAUAAUUAAGUGCGCUCGGGCUAGAGUAGUACUAGGAUGGGUCACCACCCGGGAAGUCCUAGUAUUUUACAUGCC